AUGCAGCAGAUGGACCCCCCUCCCCGUGAUGGUUGGUUAGCCAAUACCAACAAAUGCAUUCCAAAGAUGGCAGUACAUCACACGAAGAACCAUGCUGAGGCAUCUUGCAACGUCGGAAGUUGCACAUCAAGUUCCCGCACCAAGGAGCGGGGUUGUGCACUGCCCGAGGACAACUCUCCUCAUAGGGCGUGUGAGUCCAAACAGGACAUACCACGUCACCCGCGCCACCAUGGGACAGGUGUAGGCCGGGACAUCGGCCUCAACGAUGCACGUUAUACCAUUGUUGCUCUCCGAGAUCUGAGUGGACCAUCGACGAUGUGCUUUUCCUACUUCUUUGAUCAGAAGCAAACCAGGAGACUUGGAGAUGAAGUCGGAGGAGCCACGAGGCGGCCACAAGGGUGGAGGGUGAUACGUCUCCAACGUAUCUAUAACUUUUGA
Molecule: ribosomal RNA, 438 nt
Filed under: Triticum aestivum (bread wheat)
Lineage: Eukaryota; Viridiplantae; Streptophyta; Magnoliopsida; Poales; Poaceae
Description: partial small subunit ribosomal RNA
Source: RNAcentral